Long non-coding RNA from Phalaenopsis equestris, 811 nucleotides. RefSeq lists it as uncharacterized. Lineage: Eukaryota; Viridiplantae; Streptophyta; Magnoliopsida; Asparagales; Orchidaceae. The transcript has 3 exons. The record is from RefSeq and is a predicted model, not a curated record.
GGAUCAAUGACAGCCACAAAAUUGCUGCGAAAAUCUGAAAAUAAGUUGAAGAAAACUAUGGUGCUGAGACCAAUGAGAUUUUGGUUUUUUAUCGCAAGCUUUCUCAGCCACGACUUCUCGGCCAAGUGAAAAUAUAAGGCGGCCGAGUGACUGAGGUUGCUCUUAAAAUCUUCUCCUUCAUCCCAUUUUUCUCAUCUAACAAACCCUAGGGUGUACGAAGAAGAAGAAGGGUGUCAGGGAAAAAGCUACUGCUUGGAAAAAUCGCGUUCAGAAUCAGCCCUAUGGAGUGGAGUCAUGUGAAUGGAAGCAGUGAUUGCAUGGUUCCUGCUGCGCUAGAUGGGCUUGGGUUCUAUCGCCGUCAAGAGAAGAUUGGUUUCAUUGGGGGGUUAAUGGAUUUGAGAUUAAUGGAUUUGCUAGGAAAUACAAUGAUACAUCUGAGGAAGAAAAUCUGGCAAACUUGAACUCUGAUAUAAGAGUGCCACCUGUGAAUCAAUUUUAUCUGUGUGAUGGAUCGAACAGUUCGAGUCCUUGUGAAGAUGGUUUGGUGCAUGACUUCUGUAUGAGAACUUCUGAUGACUUGUUCAGUGAUUUACCUGAUUUUGAGAUUCAGACCAGCAUGGAGAACAUGGAUGACAUUCUCUUGGAUUCUUUCUCAUUGCUGGAUCAAAUGUAUUUGGAGAAUUCAUAUGAAUCACUGCAUAUUACAGAUUCCACACACCACCCAUGGAAUUCGAGAAUCUCAGUACUUGAACAUUCAGAGACUCUUAUGAAGGAUUUGUCAAGAAGAAAAGAUGCAAUGAAUGAGGUAGGA